This 431-nucleotide ribosomal RNA is filed under the name uncultured bacterium. RNAcentral's name for it is "partial 16S ribosomal RNA". It matches the Rfam family "Bacterial small subunit ribosomal RNA", at positions 861 to 1297 of the family's 1533-position model. The record is from RNAcentral.
UAAGUAUUCCACNUGNGGUAGUACAUUCGCAAGAAUGAAACUUAAAGGAAUUGACCGGGACCCGCACAAGCGGUGGAGCAUNUGGUUUAAUUNGAAGAAACGNGAAAAACCUUACNUGGAUUUGACAUCCCUUGCAAAGCUAUGGAAACAUAGGGAGGUUAUCAAGGUGACAGGUGGNNCAUGGUUGUCGACAGUUCGUGUCGUGAGAUGUAUGGUUAAGUCCCAUAACGAGCGCAACCCUCAUCCUUAUUUGCUAACAUUUAGUUGAGAACUAUAAGGAAACAGCAGUCGUAAGAUUGGGGAAGGUGGGGAUGACGUCAAAUCAUCAUGCCCCUUAUAUUCAGGGCUACACACGUGCUANNANGGUUGAGACAAAGGGAAGCUAACCCGUGAGGGGGUGCAAAUCUCAUCAAACUCAAUCUCAGUUUGGA